RNAcentral lists this ribosomal RNA (400 nucleotides) under uncultured bacterium. RNAcentral describes it as "bacterial SSU rRNA". It matches the Rfam family "Bacterial small subunit ribosomal RNA", at positions 355 to 769 of the family's 1533-position model. The record is from RNAcentral.
UUAGGAAUUUUGCGCAAUGGACGAAAGUCUGACGCAGCAACGCCGCGUGUGGGAUGAAGGCCUUCGGGUUGUAAACCACUUUUAGUUGGAACGAAAAAAAUGACGGUACCAACAGAAAAAGCACCGGCUAACCCUGUGCCAGCAGCCGCGGUAAUACAGGGGGUGCAAGCGUUAUUCGGAAUUAUUGGGCGUAAAGAGCGUGUAGGCGGCUUAUUAAGUCUGAUGUGAAAGCCCCGGUCUCAAGCCGGGAAGUGCAUCGGAUACUGAUUAGCUAGAGUACAGGAGAGGUUGGCGGAAUUCCUGGUGUAGAGGUAAAAUUCAUAGAUAUCAGGAGGAACAACAGAGGCGAAGGCGGCCAACUGGACUGUUACUGACGCUAAGGCGCGAAAGCGUGGGGAGC